UGGGGAAUAUUGCACAAUGGAGGGAACUCUGAUGCAGCGACGCCGCGUGAGGGAUGAAGGAAUUCGUUUUGUAAAACUCUGUUCUAUGGGAAGAAAAGGACUGUACUAUAGGAGAAAGCUCCGGCUAAAUACGUGCCAGUAGCCGCGGUAAUACGUAUGGAGCGAGCGUUGUCCGGAAUUAUUGGGCGUAAAGGGUGCGCAGGCGGCUUUACAAGUUGGAUGUGAAAUAUUGUGGCUCAACCACAAACGUGCAUCCAAAACUGCAAAGCUUGAGUUAAGGAGAGGUAAGUGGAAUUCCUGGUGUAGCGGUGGAAUGCGUAGAUAUCAGGAGGAAUACCGGUGGCGAAGGCGACUUACUGGACUUAAACUGACGCUCAGGCACGAAAGCGUGGGGAGCAAACAGG
RNAcentral lists this ribosomal RNA (404 nucleotides) under Fusobacteriota bacterium. RNAcentral describes it as "Fusobacteria bacterium partial 16S ribosomal RNA". It matches the Rfam family "Bacterial small subunit ribosomal RNA", at positions 355 to 776 of the family's 1533-position model. The record is from RNAcentral. Lineage: Bacteria; Fusobacteriati; Fusobacteriota.